UCAUAGAAACCUGGGUUUAUUAUGAAGACUGUUUUCAAUGACGAUCCAGGCGGUGUCCUGGAAAAUAAGCAUUCUUGGUGUUUGGACUGAGCUGACCUUAAGGAUUCCUGGAGGUAUCACUGUGUGUGUCCAUGGUGAUGUGAUGAGCUGGGAAGAGGAAAAGCGUCAUUGUAUACCUUCCACUGAUGAAGUCUGCACAGAAGGAGCAAGUCCUAGAGAAGAAUCCAGUGUGCUGUGACAUGUGCCUGACAGGGUGAAAAGAAUAAGAGGUAUUAUGGGUAACUUAUUUCCCUUCCCCCAUCCUUCUCCACCAGUAUGCUAACAAUAUCCCAUUCUGUCUUCAUCUACAAUGCUUUCAGGGUAAAUAUGUUCCCAUUUGAAAAUGCUUGGUCUUCUCAGAUGGAUGCAAGGGCCAAGGCACUCUGGAGUAAUUAUAUUACAUCAGCUGUCCCAGAACUGCAUGGUAGGUUUUGAUUAUUUGUACUUAAACAUGGUGAGUGCCUGCAUGUCUACUCUUUUUGAUGUUAUUGUUAAUAUAGUUCAUUCACAUACACCUCUUGUAAGAACAGAGUCUCCAAUACAUUUUCUUUAUGUGUAUAGAGGACUGUAUCAUAAUAGAUCACUUAUACUUGUUGCUUCAAAAAUCACACAGAACUGAGAAAUAUUAAGAGGACAAGAAAAUGUGUACUAUAUUGAAUCAUAGUUUUUCUAUCAAUUCUGCUGCUGUGUACUGACCUGCAAGAAUACAACUCUGGUCCCUCUCCUUUUCAUGUGUCAAGAUGAGCUGGGCAGAGCAGGUUCAGAUCUGUAGACUGGGAACACAGGCAGGGUCUGUGCACUCAAUGGAGGGCCGUGACUGGGCAACUGUCCUGAAUCCAGGCAGGUGUACUUAGGGAGUUCUGACUUCUCUACCCAACUUGCCUUUAAAUCCAUCUGAAUAUGCCCCCUACUCUGACAUACACAGUGUCUAGAUGCCUUGAUCCAGUUACAUCUUCUCAAGAAAUUCUUGUUUUGUUAUGCCAUACCUGAAGCCUUAGGUGCUUUAAAAAGAUCUCUAUCACAAAGCUCUCUCACUUGCAUCUCUGACAAACAAAUGAUGUUGUGUGACUCCAUUGCUUUAACAAGUUGUAAACAAAUAGUCCCUGUUGUUAUGUGGGAUGCCUCUCUCUCUCCCUUCACCUACUUUGGGGAGGUUCCUUUACAGUAGUCUUGAAACCUCAUUAUUAGACUAUGUUGCCUCUCUUUCAAAAGACAGAAAUGGCCUUCUGAAUGGAGACAGGCCACUCUCUCCCUGGUAAGAGUUAAUCCAGGUGGGUCAGCCAACCAGGAGGCCAAAGGACCCCUUCUCAAAAAUGAGGAUCCUUCCUGAAAGCCAUACUAAAAAGCAAAAGGGGCCAUACUGAUCCCUCCAUGAGAUAAUGUGCCUCCCCUUCCAUAAGGGGUGUCUGCUCCUCUGGCAGGCUCCCACAGAGCUGGAGUCUUGCAGCCUUAGGAUCUGCCCACUUUCCUCUCUUUUCUAGGUGUGCUUUCACUAACACUUUUUCUUCCCUGACACUGUGAGCUUUCUCUAAAGCUCCUUCCCUACCCUGUGACUGCUUAUGAAAUCUGUGUGUCAGCAAUGCAGACUUAAUUCAGAUAGGACAGCUUUCUUCUUUUUCUGCUCAAGAUUUGCAAUUACCUGCCCUGGAGCUUUUCAGGUUUUUCUUCCUCUAUUUUCCUCCCUAGGUUUAUUUAUUUUAUUCUAUGUGUGUGAGAGUUUUCUCUGCAUAAAUGUCUGUGUACCACUUGGGUGGCUGCUAUGCA
Peromyscus leucopus (white-footed mouse) is the source of this 1803-nucleotide long non-coding RNA. RefSeq lists it as uncharacterized. NCBI's taxonomy places the organism in Eukaryota, Metazoa, Chordata, Mammalia, Rodentia, Cricetidae. The record is from RefSeq and is a predicted model, not a curated record. The transcript has 3 exons.